RNAcentral lists this ribosomal RNA (253 nucleotides) under uncultured bacterium. Its description in RNAcentral is "partial 16S ribosomal RNA". It matches the Rfam family "Bacterial small subunit ribosomal RNA", at positions 524 to 776 of the family's 1533-position model. The record is from RNAcentral.
UACGAAGGGUGCUAGCGUUGCUCGGAAUUACUGGGCGUAAAGGGCGCGUAGGCGGACCUGUCAGUCAGGCGUGAAAGCCCAGGGCUCAACCCCGGAACUGCCUUUGGAACUGUUUGGCUGGAGACUCGGAGGGGAUGGCUGAAUUCCUAGUGUAGAGGUGAAAUUCGUAGAUACUAGGAGGAACACCGGUGGCGAAGGCGGCCAUCUGGACGAGUACUGACGCUGAUGUACGAAAGCGUGGGGAGCAAACAGG